UGAGAGCUGUUCUUCAUGACAACAGAACCCACAACAACCAUGACUUUUAUCACUUUCUUCAUCUGGACACUUGCUUUAUGCUUUCAAGAAUCCAGAGGACAGUACACUGUGACUCAGACUCCUGCAGUGAAAGCUGUUCUCCCAGGACAGACAGUCUCUCUGAACUGUAAAACCAGCAGUAAUGUGUAUGCCAAUAUCUACCUAGCCUGGUACCAACAGAAACCUGGAGGAGCUCCUAAACUCCUUAUUUACUAUGCUAAAACACUUCAGUCUGGGACUCCAUCUAGAUUCAGUGGCAGUGGAUCUCAUAGUGACUUCACCCUGACCAUCAGUGAAGUCCAGGCUGAAGAUGCAGGAGAUUACUACUGUCAGAGUUUCCAUGGUGAUAUGGUGUUCACACAGUGAUACAGAGCCAUACAAAAACCUCUCUCAGUCAGACUGCAGAGUGACUGUACUGUUACAGCUGGGACCUACUGCAGGUGUUGAGUGGGAAGAGACAGUGACAUGGAACACUGAUCACUCGAUGAGGUCAACUGUGUCAUGUGACAAUAUGGUUAGACAUUAUUCAGAUCACAUGAAAAUUAUUAACAUUAUCAUCAUGGUUAUAACUUAUAUUAUUUUUCAUCAUGGUCUGAAAGUGUAUAUAAAUGUUA
Non-coding RNA from Salvelinus fontinalis (brook trout), 653 nucleotides. Lineage: Eukaryota; Metazoa; Chordata; Actinopteri; Salmoniformes; Salmonidae. The record is from the annotation of a RefSeq genome assembly.